AAUGUCUCGACAUAGUUAAUUUAUUCAAAAUAAGUAAUAUAUAAACAAUUUAUCUUGUUUUUGCCCAAUUUUAUUUGGCCACAAAUAGAAAAAAUCACAUAAAAGGUAAGAAAGAAUGUAGGAGGGCAAUGAACCCUCAUUAUUCCUCUGGAUUAAGCACCCAUAAUAUAAAUAAUUCUCUCAUUUAUCUCGAAUUCAUAUAUAGUUGAACUUUCUUGUCUUUGAGAUUUUUACUCGCUCUUCA
Molecule: long non-coding RNA, 244 nt
Filed under: Lathyrus oleraceus (garden pea)
Lineage: Eukaryota; Viridiplantae; Streptophyta; Magnoliopsida; Fabales; Fabaceae
Description: Pisum sativum (pea) long non-coding RNA (PSAT_LNC009191)
Source: RNAcentral